GUAAAUAUAGUUUAUCCAAAACACUAGACUGUGACUCUAGAAACAGAAGCUAUUAUCUUCUUAUUUACC
RNAcentral lists this transfer RNA (69 nucleotides) under Darevskia uzzelli. RNAcentral describes it as "tRNA-His". It matches the Rfam family "tRNA". Rfam says of the family: Transfer RNA (tRNA) molecules are approximately 80 nucleotides in length. Lineage: Eukaryota; Metazoa; Chordata; Lepidosauria; Squamata; Lacertidae. The record is from RNAcentral. RNAcentral also lists the same sequence under 2 other names.